This is a non-coding RNA of Phoenix dactylifera (date palm), 831 nucleotides long. The record is from RefSeq and is a predicted model, not a curated record. Lineage: Eukaryota; Viridiplantae; Streptophyta; Magnoliopsida; Arecales; Arecaceae.
UCUCCCUGCAAUUUCCGCAAAUGUAGUUAGUUUCUGCUUUAAGCUUGUCAGCUAAGACGUCAUACAUAUGCUAUAUUGCCAGUAUCGUUCAAAGUGAUUGAAAAUUGCCACUUUCAGUGGUCUAACACACAGGAUAUGUGGCCCUGAACUUGAUUGCAAUGGCAUAAAGUUUACUGGAAGAAAUGCAGGACAACCUUCUAGGGAAAUGCCUGCAACUGGAAAGUGUCUGGAGCUUGAGUUAAAGAACAUUCUCGCAGUUUUAUGUCGCUUAUCUUUUUGGAGUUUGAUGGGUUCGAGGAGGAAGAGAUCCAUGGGGGCUUUAUUGAAGGCCAAGCUUGGAAACAAAGUCAGGAUAGGUGUACCAUAUUAUUUAACAGAGGUGAUGAACAAGGAAAAACUAAGGUGAACAAGCAAGGCGAGGUAUUCUUGCCAUGCAAGUGCUGAUAUGUAUCUGUAAAGCUGGUGGAUGAAGGUAGGCAUCCCUCUUUUGCAUUGUGCCUGGGUUUCAGAUGCUUCUUUAUGCUGUUGUCUUUUGCCUUGGCUGAAAAGAUAGCUUUAAGACUGAAGAAAGAUGCCCCUUUUACCUUGUCUCAUCUGUCGUCUUUUUGUGCUCCCUUGUUACAAACCUGCCUCAAAAACAGAUAAAAGUAUGUUGUCUGUAGAUUAUAAAAAGAAGCAGCAGGCAUUUUAAUUGUUUAGUGAAAGAAUUUUAUCUGUAAAGAGGCAUUUUUGGGAUUAUGAUUGAUAGGAGACAAAUGAAGUACUGAGAAAAUAUUAAAAUUAAUCAAAUGUGACUCUGGAAGCUGAAGCAAUGUUGAUUUUCAGGUACUU